CUCAAAUAAACCUUAAUUUUCAUUUAUAUUUUAGUAAUUCAUAACCCUCCUUUUAUAUUCUACUAAAUAUUUAUGUAUGAAACCAGUUUCAAGAUUCUAAAUGCUGUAUGCAAGAAAAUGAACACAUUGCUAUGAAUAACCAGAUGUUUGUGAGUGACGAUUUGCAGGCUCCCUCUUUGAGCUCUGCUUUAAAGCAAGAGAAAAGUAUAGUAUAGGAGGCCCUGCAGGACAAUCCAUGCUACAGUUCUGUGAUCAUUUUGACAGGGUGUAAUAGUCUAGCAUGAAUGUUACUGAGUGACUAUAUUUGGAUGUACUUGAGGAUUGAUGGUGAUGACAUGCAGUUACUACAUAAUGACCUUCAGUUAGACUGUUUAUGACAGGAGCUGUGAAAAAGCAGGUUGAGUGUGUCUGAACUUCAGGGCAAUUGUCAUUAUUUAGGAGACAGUGACUUUUGAAGAUGUAGCUCUGAACUUCACCCCAGAAAAGUGGGAUUUGCUGAAUGAAUCCCAGAAGAAUCUCUACAGAGAUGUGAUGUGGGAAAUGUCUAUGAAUAUUAAUGCUACAGGAAGAAUAUGGUGUAGCCAACAAAUUAAAGAAGAGGACAAAAAUGGCUCAAGAAAUCUAAGCUGAUCGACACACAAAAGAGAAAGGGAACAUUCCUUAAGUUCAGUGUUUGAGCAAACUACUACAACAAAGAUGUGAUGAAGACAAUUAUUUGAGAAUUGAAGAGCAGCAAUAUAAAUGUAAUGAAGAUGUAGAGACCUGCAGUGAUUUCCAGUCCUUUCAGAAGCAUGAAAUGAGAAAGACCGGAGAGAGACUCUGUCAAUAUGGGCAAUGUGGGGAGGACAGCUCUGAUCUUAGGGAAUAAACUCACCCUGAGAAGAAAAUUUUUUCAGUUAGGAGAAACCUUAUGGAAGACAUUUGUGAAAGGUUCUGCUGAUCAUCCAAAUUUUCUAGACAUAGAAGAUCCCACACAAGGAGAAAUCUUCUGUAUGUGAGCAAUGUGGGAAAUCUACCAGCCAAAGCCAUAGCUUGCAAACGCAUCAAAGAAUUCACAGUGGGAAAACUAUAUAGCAUUCAUGAAUUUAAUGUCACUUGGAUUCAUCAUGGAUCUCAGUUUCCUUCAUCAGAGGGCUAUCAUAUGAUGUGACAACCUGACAAGAAGGUUAAGUGCAAGGAAUGAUGAGAAAUGAAGAGAGACAAGAAGUUCACAAGACCCUGAUUUUACCAUGGUUAUUAUUCAAAUGUCUGUAAUUAGUAGCACUGUUAGUAAACACAUUCAUAAACAGUUAAGUGUAUUCCAAAAUCAUAAAUAUAUAUUAAAUGUAAUGUGUAUAAGUUUCACUGUGUGUAAAAUAUUACUCUCUAAUAUAGGAAAAAUACAUUGAGGCAGUUAUUUCUACACACUUGAUUCCGAGGUAGAAUACUGCUGGUAAAUUCUACAAUGUAAUUCCUAAUUUUACUCCCUUAUCUUACUGUUUUAUCAUUUUUUAAAAUAAAAUGGUUCAGACAUAGGCAAGGUUGUGAUUUCAUGUGAUUUAAGCAGUCCAGGAACCUGAGGCAAGAUGAUUUCAACUUUUCAAUUUAAGCCCAGGCUUGGCAACUUGGAAACACAGAGAAAACCUGUCUGCAAAUACAAAAUGGCACUGUGGAGAUAGCUCAGUAUAAAUAUGCUGAAUUCCAAUCUCAGUCCUGAAAACUUCAAUCAGACCUUGUUUCCUGAUAAUGCAGUAAAACCAUUGGCCUCAUCUCAAACUCUGAGAAGACCUGGCCUGUUCUCACUCAUCCCUCCUCGGAGUUUAGGAAUCAUGUCCAGAGUACAUAGCCUCAAAUCACAGCAGUACAUUUCCACUCUACUAAUGGACAUAGGAGUAAAUUUGCAAAAUUACAGGUAAUCAAUCUUUGUUCUCUAAAGACAAGAGCAACCUCAUUUUAAGUGCAGUAAUGCCCUUGAGAAUUUCAGCAGCCCAUAUGUAAAACAAAAAUGGCAUGUAUCAACUUGUUCAUCAGUUCAGAUUUUAGAUCACUUUCCUUUUCCCUUCAGUCUCAAAUAUUUGGUUUUUCAUUACCAGCUAUUGGGUGAUGCAGGAAGGCUUUUGCUUUGUAAUCUGGAAAGAGGCAUAGGGAGAUCAGGACAUUUAAUUAUAUGGGGUCCUCUUUUAUAUUUUUGCUGCCAUAUUUUGGACUGAGGGUCCCCUGCUGAUGAAGGCCCCUAGAAUUUGGGGCCUGGUUGCUGGGUGACUUCUGCAGACAGCAGGAAUCUAUGCACAAGGAAACAUCCUAAAGGCUAGGAAGUUAAGUUUGGUGCCAGGGGCUCUGAGCUGGAUAAAAAUGGACUAGAUGUUAUCUGUUGAAGUUGGAGUCUUCCCAUGAAACUUGUGAAGUCUGUGACAUGACUUCUGUACUGCCUUCAACCUGAUCCCUUCAGGCCUGUGGCAUGAGGCUUGACUGGCAAUGGAGACCCCUGUGCCCUGUCCUGUUCCUGAUUCAAAUUCAGCAACAUGCAAAGUGGAACACAUUCCACAAAGUCUCCUUUAGCUCUGUGUCUUGACACUAUAUGGUGACUUCAUUUGUGCAUGUGGAGUCUAUAGGUUCAUCUGCAGUUUCUACAUAGAAACAUAUUUUUUCCUUCAUCCCCAGUCAGUUUUUUGUCUCAAAAGUCAGUCCUGAUUGCCCUGCAUUAACUGAAUGUUUUGGCAGCAAAGAGUCCAGUUCACGGAGUGAAGAGUGAACCAAGCAUUUAUAAGAAUACAUGUUUUUCCUGGGAAGGUUCCAGAAAUAUCAAAUGGCACUAUUUUUGUUACUUCAUGGCGUUGUGCUUUCCAGAUGUCUAGGCUGAGAAGCAGCUAUUGGAGUCCGCGGAGGCUUGGUGCAGCCUGCGUGUUUCCAGGAACUCUCCUGAGCAGCUUCUAGAUUCCUGUUCAUGAGCUAUGGCUUGCACUGUUUCCUCCAGACUCCAGGAAAGGGGCUAGAGUGAAUCGCAUACAUCAAUCAUGAUAGUAGUACGCAGACUCCAUGAAGGGCCGAUUCACCAUCUCCCAAGAGAAUGGCAAGAACACGCUGUACCUGCAAAUGAGAAGCCUAAGACAUGGGAACAUGACUCUAUCAUCCUGCAGUGGCACACAGUGAGGAGACAUCAUUGAGAGCUCCUACAAAACUCUCCCGACUUGGAACCAGUAGGGGGUGCACAUUCUGUGGGGGAAAAAUGGCUCCAGGAGCAGGUGCAGGAAAGGAAGUGGCAUGUGAGGGCUUUCAUUUGGCCUCUAGGAUUUUUUUUUCUAUUUUAACAUCCUGUGACCUGAGGAAACCCUGAAAUACAUAGCCUUCAUUUGAUAGUUUACCUAUCCUAGGUGAAGUAAACAUUCUUCAUCAAAAUUAAUUGCAUAAGUACAUAUAUAUGUACUUACUUUAUUCAUCUUUUUUUAGGAAUUUCACUAAAUGGUUAUCCAUUGCCAUCUCAAAAAAACUUAAAAAUCUUCUGCAAUGAACUUUUUUUAAAAUGUCAAAUUAACAGGGCCUGGCAGCUCAUUACUGUAAUCCUAUAAGUUGGGAGGGUGAGGCUGGAGGAUGAAUUAUAAAUGUGAGACCAUCCUAGGUUACAAAGUGAGCCCAAAGCCACCCUGAACUGCAUAGUGGAACCAUGUUUCCAAAAGACAAAAAAAGUCGAUUGAACAUCAUGCAAAAAAAAAAAAUUGCUAGUUUUAUUCUUGUGAUGAAAUGUUCUCAAAUGCUAAAAUAAAAGCUUCAGAGGAGAAAAUUAAAUCUAUGAUGUCCAUGUUUAUAAAUCUCAAAAAUAAAUGGCCCAAUCCUCAUCUUGGAUGGUAAAAUGUAAUGUAAUGCAAUGUAGUGUAAGAAUACCUGAUUCCUAAGCUCAGCCCCAGCCCCAUUAGGAGUCCUUUGCUCAGAGAGGAGAGAGAGGAGGGCAGCUCGAUGAACUCAAGACAAAGCCAAUGAGACAGUGAACACUUUCUGUCCAACAGAACUAGCAGGACUUCAGCCUGCAAUUUCUUUUUGGACUUUACAAGUUAGGAAUUCAUAAAUUAAAGCAUGCUAAACUGUAAACAAUCUCUCCCCUCUCUGUAUCCCCACCUCUCUUUUUCUCUCACUCUCUCUACCCCUCUCAUUUAAAUCAGUUAAAUAAUGGAGAAUAUGUAAGAACAAAUACUGCAAUUUCAUAUAUUCAGAAUUUCCUUUCUAAACUGAUUUCCAUAAAUCUGACCUUACACAUUUAGUUUAUUUUAUAACAGUCUCCUUUCUGAGGUGAUUCUGCAUGUAUCAGUGGCAUAUACUAUAAUUUAAAAAGUAAAAUCUAGAUAUUGGAACUCAGGACCCUGGGAAACCAAGCAAGCAUCUGAAGGUUGUGUUUAUUACAGGCUUUAAUCCAAUACACUGCUUUUAAGUCCAAAGACCAGUCCCACUGGUCCCAGCCUGUUCUGUAGCAGCUGCCCUCUGUAACCCUUAGGACUCUGCUGUGCAUCACUGUGUGAGAGACACAGGGAGUGAGAUCCAUGUGCACUGAGAUAGAAUUACCAUGUAGAGACAAAAAUUGAGCUUUAGGGCACUGAGGGACUGAGCGGCAUUUUGACACAGGUCAGAAGUUGUGCAGAGAAAGAUUGGGGGGGAUUGCUGGUGGGAUUGAUGAAUCCUUGUGUGUUCACAGAAACACACAGAAAUAUGCACAGACACACACACACAGAGACAGGAACACAGACACACACACACACACACACACACACACAAUGACCUUGGACACUUCCUCCUUUGAGGUAGCUGCUUCUUGUCUUAUUGUACAUCUUGACCAGUAUGAGGUGGGCUCCAAUGCACUGUCUCAUUUUCCCACCAUGGUCUGAUUUUCAGAAGGAAUGGGCUAAAAUACACCCCCAGUAAAAGUUCCAUUUCCAGUGUCUGAAUUUUUCAUAUACUUUAUCACUAUGAUAGAAAGUUCAGGAACACAAACACAGAAUGGCAAAAUUUCAGUUACCAUCUCUUCUUGAAGUACAAAAACUCUCAGGAAUCCAAAAUGCAUUAAUAACAGAACUUAUUUAAUAUUAAACAAUAAAGUGCCUGUGCACUGUGGAGGUGGUCACAAAGACAGUGUGCCAAUGAUUCUGCAGGAAUUUCAUAUGGAACCUGCAAUUGCCAAGUUAUCAAUCUUUUCAAAGAAGUGAAUCACUGGCUCAGAUAAGUCAGAAGCUUGAUGCUUAGAAAUAGAAAAUUAUGCACUUGACAUCAGAUAUACCCAUCACAUUAAAUCUUGUUAGACACAUGAUUGGUAAUUAUAAGCUCUAUCAGCACAUCUAUAAGAUAAUCUCUAUGCAAGAGGCACUUUUAUUAGGUAGCGAGCAAUACUAUUACAAAACAGCCAACCUGUAAUCAAUAGAGAGAAAUUUAUUGAACCUGUUAAUUUGGUAGAAACUGAGCUCAGGGACUCACAAGGAACAGGAAUAUAGCUGUGGACAAAAUCAGGAACUUCAAGGGAUGUUUUUCUUAUUUUACUAGAAAUUAAAAAAGAAAAGAAAAAAAAAGUUUUGACUUCUCAAUAAGGGGAAUCUGUAAAAAGAAGAAAAAUGAUUUUCUACCUGACCUAGUCACAGGUUGGGGUGUUCUGCUGUCACUGCACCACAGGAAAUGAAUGUAACAGUCAUAAAAAUAAGGGCUUAGAGAUAGUAAGACUGAAUAGAAAAUGAAAACCCUUCACUUGGAAGAAAGAAAAUAAAUGAGGGUCAGACAGCUACCUGUGAGAAGGUAGUGGCCAGAUAACUGAUUGCCUUUGUUCCUGGCUGCAUUGAUUAAAGAGACAAAAAUGUCAUUUCCCUGGAACAUGUGUCAGGCCCUGAGGUCCCAGCUGAGGAGCCAUUGCCUGCCUGCAAAUUCCACAUCAGCUUCAUUAGAUUUUCUUUCAUGCUGUCAGUGAUUUAUAUCUAAAACUUAUGGGUUGGUUAAAAGCAACCUUUGAUAUGAAGUGAAGUCAACAAUAAGCAACAGGAUAAUGCACUAAUACAAUGACCUUAGAGUGGAGUGUAUUCACAUAUGCCAAAAAUGUUUUCACUCGCAGUCUAAAGUGUUUUUUUUAUCCCACAUUUGAUUGACAGGAAAUGAUCUAGUGGAUCAAGUGCAAGACUCUGUUUCAGCAAUCACUGAGAAACUCAUGGUUGACUAGGUUUAUCUUUAAAAUGUAGGUAUGAUUUAUCACACUGGGUACAGUACAAAGUUUUUCUGAAACAGUUGGACUAUCGAUUUUCCUUCAUCUUUACUUUUUCUCAGAAGCUUGUUACUGUAUAUGUCUAGUUUCUUCAUUAAAGCUGUAAUGGAAUUCUAUUUGCGACACAUAUUAAUUUAGUCAAUGCAAAUUAGCAGUGAGAGACCUUGUAAAAAUCAGGGCAACAAAGGUUAUGGUCUCAUUUCUUUUUCUGUCUUUUUGGAGACAGGGUCUCGUGCCAUGCAGUUCAGGCUGGCCUUGAGCUCACUUUGUAGCUCAGGCUGGUCUCGAACUCACAACAACUCUCUUGCCUCAGCCUCCCAAGUACUGGGAUUACAGGCAUGAGCCACCAUGCCUGACUUAUGGUCUCAUUCUGGACAGCAGUCCCUGCCCAUUCCAAUCUGUCCUGAUCUGACCUGGCCAAAUUAUCUUUUCUGUCUUCAACGGACUGGUUCUUCCAGAGGACAUUCACCUGGGAACUUUUAGGACUCAAAUUCAGGAAAUUGCACUGAGACCUUAAGGUAACCCAGGGCAGCUCUGAAAAGCCAGGAGUAAAAUCCUUAAAUGGAAGUAUGAAUCCUGCUUUGCAGAUGACAUCACAGUAGAGAGAUGGGCCCAGGAGCCAAUCAUUAAUAAUGUUGGGGGUGAGUUAAUACCCAAUCAGGUGGGCCAAGGUAGGAGGGCUCUUCCCUGUCCUGGCGCGGAAAGGCUUACUGUGAGUUUGAUGCUGAGAGCCCAGAACUGGCUGCAUAUCGAGUUUCAGUGAAUUUUUACUGAGCUCUGCAAAGGAUCCUCGGACACCCUCAAGCAUCACAAUGGUAACGAUGGUACUGGCGCUGGGAAUGGGACACAAUUGUGUGAGUUUUGGAAGGGAAUAGGCAGAACCACUGUAAGUCCAGGAGGUCUUUUUGAGCAGCCCUGCGUAAAGCUGUGUUUGAGGCAUGUAAUGGUUUGGGGCAAAUCUGAGUUCUGUCCUCAGAGUGAGAAAAAAUUAUCAUCUGAAUUCCUUCUGUGAGACUGCUACUCACAAUGAUGUUACCACAUAAACAGAACUAGCAAUCUCACCACACUGAGUGUAGAGUUAUUGAUCCAAAAUAAGAAAUUAGAGAUCCUUAAAAUUCAGAAUGCUUCCUACAUGGAUAGUCAGCUGGCCAGAAGCUACACGUGGUUCUGUGGAUUUGAAAUAGAUUUUCACCUAUGUAUCUUCUAUCUAUCUAUCUUUCCUUUUCUCAUUUAUUUUUAUUUUUUAUGUUUGGAUACAGAGCAUUUCUGUGUAGUCUGACCUGGCCUUGAACUCUUGGCCAUGCUCCUCUAUCAGCCUCCAGUGGGAGGAGAUUAUAGUCCUGAUUUUGAGAGAAUCAGAAGACAAUUACUACCUAUGAAGAAUAUCUGUGACUGGAAUUCUUACCAAAACAAAGGAGACAGUGAACUUUGAGAAUGUGGCUGUGAAGUUUACCCUAGAAGAGUGGAAUUUUUUGUCUCCAUUCCAAAAGAAGCUCUACAGAGAUGUGAUGAGGAAAACAUAUAUGAAUAUUACUGCAGUAGAUAUGAUGAAGACAAUUGUAUAAGAUUUGAACAACAGCAAUAUAAAUGUAAUGAAGAUGUAGAGACCUGCAGUGAUUUCCAGUCCUUUCAGAAGCAUGAAAUGAGGAAGAUUACAAAAAUACUCUGUCAAUAUGGACAAUAUGAAGCGGUCAGAUGUGAUCUUAGUGAACAAACUCACACUGGGCAGAAAAUCUUUGUAGGUAAAAGUGUGAAAGCCCACAAAACACCUAACAGUGUUCAAAUCAACAAGACACACCACAGUUUGAGAAACUCGGAUGUACAAAAACACUAUGAAUAUAGUUCUGUUUCUUCAUCCAAUAUUGAAAAUCAUGUUAGAAAAUAUGGUAGAGAGAAACAUCAUAUAACUGAGAAAUGUGCAAAAGCAGUAUCUCACAGUAAUUUCUUUAAAAAACAUAAGAAACUUCACACUGGAAAGCAACCAUGUGAAUGCAAGAAAUGUGGGAAAGCAUUCAGUAAACACAGUAGCUGUCAAAGAAAUAAAAACAGUCACACUGGGGAGAAACCCUAUGCAUGCAAUAAAUGUGGGAAAGCAGUUAGUACAGCCUCUGCUUGCAAAGCACAUGAUAGAACUCAAACUGGGGAGAAACACUUUGUAUGUAAGCAAUGUGGGAAAUCUUUCAGUCAAAAAGUUAGUCUUAUUACAUGAAAGAAUUCACACCGGAGAGAAACACUACGUAUGCAACAAAUGUGGGAAUGCAUUCAGUAAAGCCUCUGCUUGUAAAGCACAUGAUAGAACUCACACUGGAGAGAAACCUUUUGUAUGUAAGCAGUGUGGAAAAAUCUUUCAAUCAAAAAUAUAGUUUUAUUAGACAUGAAAGAAUUCAUACUGGGGAGGAACCCUAUGGAUCCACCUAGUGUGGGAAAGCACUCAGAAGAGCCUCUUUUUUCAAAGCUCAAAAAAGAAUUGACAUGGGUGAAAAACACUUUUUAUCUAACAAAUGUGAGAAAACAUUUAUUAUAGUGACUAGUUGUAAAUUACAUGAUAGAAUUCACUGUAGAGAGAGACCCUAUGUGUGUAUACAGUAUGGAAAAUCUUUCAGACAAAGUGGUAACCUUAGUAUACAUGAAAGAAUUCACACUGGGGAGAAACCCUUUGUAUGUGAGCAGUGUUUCAAAUCUCUCAGUCAGACUUCUACCCUUCUUCAUGAAAAAACUCAAACUGGCUAGAAGCUGUAUGGAUACAACCAUUAUGGUAAAGCAUUCAGUACGAAGAGGUGAUACAUAAACCUUAACUAUCUAUGUAAGCAAUUUGGGAUGUCUUUCAGCUAUAGUAGUAGCUUUUGUGUAUAUAAACCAUUCACUCUGUAGAAAAACCCUAGCUAUGUGAGAAAUGAGUAAGUAGAUUUGUUGACAAAUUUGCCCUUCAUAAACAUAAAUGAUCACACACUGGGGAAAAAACCUAUGAAAAUAAGGAGUGUAGGAAAACUUUCCACAACUAGAGACAUUGUUGCUACAUGACAACUCCAUCUGUGUAGUAAUUCUAUGCAUUUCAACAGUGGUUGACAGGAUUUAGUGCACAAAAAUGCCAUCAAAUAGAGGAGUAAUGCACACAAGGAAAAAACUAUGUAUGUAGGCAGUGUGGAAAAGAUAUGUUGGUUGCAGUGUUUCCCUUUUCCAAACAUAAGAUUCCUUCACACUAGGGAGUAACUGCACAUAAGAAAUAUUUGGAAAAAGUUGAGGUGACAUAGGUGCUUACUUUCUGAGUGAUGUCAUAUUGUGGCCUGAGCCUAUGUAUGCAAUGUGGGAAAGCAUUCAGUAUAAAUGGUAAUUGUCAAUCCUGUGAAAAUAAUAAUAAAAUGAAAUCAUGUACAUAAGUGACCAUUUUGAAAAUAAUUCAUAAAUUACUCAUGGAGAGGAGAGCUAUAAAAAAUAAUAUAAAAUUAGUGCUGUAAAUACAUGUUCACUGAUUUCUUUUGAAAACACCCUCCAGCACAGUUAUCCAAAAAUGUAUUCUUUCUUCUUUUACAAAUCAAACAAAUAUCUGAUCUGUUUUUGUAGUCUUAAUAAAAAGUCCUGUGUUUAAAGGAAA
Cavia porcellus (domestic guinea pig) is the source of this 9794-nucleotide long non-coding RNA. RefSeq lists it as uncharacterized. The transcript is spliced from 10 exons. NCBI's taxonomy places the organism in Eukaryota, Metazoa, Chordata, Mammalia, Rodentia, Caviidae. The record is from RefSeq and is a predicted model, not a curated record.